Molecule: non-coding RNA, 1082 nt
Organism: Lolium perenne
Lineage: Eukaryota; Viridiplantae; Streptophyta; Magnoliopsida; Poales; Poaceae
Source: RefSeq, a predicted model, not a curated record
GCUCUCUUGUUGAUCACAUGCGCAUGGCCAAAAAUAUGUGGCCGGCCAUGCCAUGGCACACAUGCAUCAUGCCUCUCCAUUUCCCUCUCUCUCACAUAAUUAUUCCACCUUGGGAAGCCUCUCACUUUUUGUCCCUUCCCCAUGCCACUAAUAAUUUCAGCUUUAGUCAAAUUCUUCCCCCACAAGCCAGCCUCCCAACUAACACAAUCAAUGAAGAGGCUACCUCCCAACCAACCCAAUCAAUGAGGAGGCAGCCCACCCCCUCUCCCUCUAUAUAAAGGGGCUUGGCAGCCCACCCCUCCUCACUUGCUCUCACUUUUCCACUCCCCACUCUUUCCUCCACUCCCACACACUCUCCUCCUAUCUCUCCCCACGAAAUUGCUGCUCCUCCUAGCUUCAUGGCCGGCCAUGGCCAUGGCCAUGAAAAGCUCCCCAUGAUGAAGCUCUCCCCCUCCCUCAAGCUCCUCCUCUCCAUGAGAGCAUCCCUCUCCUUUUUCUCCCCAACCCUAGAUGGUUUUCUCUCCUCUUCUUCUUCCUCCCUUGCUAAGUUUGGAUCUUGAUGCAGGUGCAUGUUGGUCCAAGCAUGGAGAAGCUUCACCUAUCCUCAGAUCUGAAGCUCUUGACCAAAAUCCAAAUCGAGUGAUUCGAAGUUCCGCAGAUAGGUAUUGAAAAUAUCUACAACUUGGCGUUGGUCUCAUCCUCAAAUUCGUUACGGAUUUUGCAUGGGGAUACUUAGUUGUGCCAUGGUGAUACCUAGAGAGGCAAUUGCUAAGUCGUGGCACUCUCAUACCUUUACUAGAUGCGAACAAUUUCGGAGGAAAAGAAGAAGAAGUGGAAUCGGACAAGGAUUUUAUUUGUACUGUGGGAAUUCUUAUUUGAUGGAGUUGAAGAAGUCCAGGGACAAAUAAGCCAAGGCAAGCCAUCUCUUGAUCUCUGAAUGUUUGAUCACAUAUUGUGGUUACUUUGUUGUUGUUCUUGUCUCUCGAUCUAUCUUGUGUUGUUUCUACUUAUGUUGAUGGAGCAUGCUCACCAUGAGCAUGUUUAUUCUCUUUGACACCUCACCUACAACCCCCUUUAGUGAA